AUGAAUUAGAAAAGGUUGGAGUCGAAGCUUGGAGACGCAUAUAUCGACGGUUCGUGGUCACCAACUUGAAGCUUGACUCUCUGGUCUGAACUGUGUCUCCAAUCCGCCAUCAAGCUCACCUCCGUCGUCGUCCGUUCACCUCCGACAAGCAGCACCGAACCAAUAUCGUCGUCUUGCUCGGUCGAGCUCGCGGCCCGUGCUCACCAAUCUCAGCCACCGCGACCGUCUUAUUCGAUAAGCCGUCUUGUCGUCUUCAAUUCGCCACAAACCUCCGCGAAAGUUGCUCAGUCACCACGAAGUCUCCUUACACUAAGAUCGGAGCAUCUCAGUCGUCACCGGAUCUUCAAUCCCCAUUGUCACGGAGGAAGCUUGAGCAACAAUGG
RNAcentral lists this long non-coding RNA (383 nucleotides) under Brassica napus (rape). Its description in RNAcentral is "long non-coding RNA (BNAP_LNC010669)". Lineage: Eukaryota; Viridiplantae; Streptophyta; Magnoliopsida; Brassicales; Brassicaceae. The record is from RNAcentral.